AGUGAGCGCUGGCGGUAGGCCUAACACAUGCAAGUCGAACGGCAGCACAGUAAGAGCUUGCUCUUACGGGUGGCGAGUGGCGGACGGGUGAGGAAUACAUCGGAAUCUACUUUUUCGUGGGGGAUAACGUAGGGAAACUUACGCUAAUACCGCAUACGACCUACGGGUGAAAGCAGGGGAUCUUCGGACCUUGCGCGAUUGAAUGAGCCGCUGUCGGAUUAGCUAGUUGGCGGGGUAAAGGCCCACCAAGGCGACGAUCCGUAGCUGGUCUGAGAGGAUGAUCAGCCACACUGGACCUGAGACACGGUCCAGACUCCUACGGGAGGCAGCAGUGGGGAAUAUUGGACAAUGGGCACAAGCCUGCUCCAGCCAUACCGCGUGGGUCAAGAAAGCCUUCGGGUUGUAAAGCCCUUUUGUUGGGAAAGAAAAGCAGCACGUUAAUACCCCGCUGUUCUGACGGUACCCAAAGAAUAAGCACCGGCUAACUUCGUG
This 492-nucleotide ribosomal RNA is filed under the name uncultured bacterium. Its description in RNAcentral is "partial 16S ribosomal RNA". It matches the Rfam family "Bacterial small subunit ribosomal RNA", at positions 29 to 507 of the family's 1533-position model. The record is from RNAcentral.